AGAGAAUGUUUAAUCAACAUUGCUAUUUACAAUAGAGUCUCGCUUAUCCAACAUAAACGGGCCAGCAGAACGUUGGAUAAGCGAAUAUGUUGGAUAAUAAGGAGAGAUUAAGGAAAAACCUAUUAAACAUCAAAUUAGGUUAUGAUUUUACAAAUUAAGCACCAAAACAUCAUGUUAUACAACAAAUUUGACAGAAAAAGUAGUUCAAUACACAGUAAUGAUUUGUUGUAUAACAUGAUGUUUUGGUGCUUAAUUUGUAAAAUCAUAACCUAAUUUGAUGUUUAAUAGGCUUCUCCUUAACCUCUCCUUAUUAUCCAACAUAUUCGCUUAUCCAAUGUUCUGCCGGCCCAUUUAUGUUGAAUAAGUGAGACUCUACUGUAUAUAUCUUUUGGGCAACUGCAAUUACAUUUACAACUGCAACUGCAAUUUCAGCUUCAAAGAAACAAUCAUUCUCUGCUAACCAAAUAUAUUUUUGUAGUGGCAUGUCAUUGUCCUUGGUAGUACAAAUACAUGGUUCUUCAGUUUAACAGCUGAGUUACCUGUCUGCCAUUACACGAGUGCUUAUGAAUAUCACUUGUUUAAAGAGUUGACUUCUAACAAGGUUGUGCUUUUCUUGAAUAGUGGUUUUCAAAAAGUGCUCUCCACAAGGUCAUGGAGAUUCUAUUUGCCAAACAAAUAUGACAUUUUUCCUUUUCAAUAAGUUUAUGAUUGCCAUUUAUUUCCAAAGGGAUAUUUGCCCAGAGACUGGGUGUGGUUAUUUCCAAUAGGGGUUUACUGUGAAGGCACAAAGGGAGAAAGAGAGCAUGUAGAUGCAGAAGGAAGCGUGAGAAGUGUGAAAUGCAUGUGGAAGAAAUCAAGGGGCUCACCGAGAAGGUAUGAAGAGAGGCAACGGAGGGGAAAGGAGAAACAGGAGAACAAGAGGUGCAAACAUCACAGUGGAAGGGAUGCAUUGUGAGGCCAUGUGGUAAGGCAAAGGAGGAAUAGGGGAAUAGGAGAGAUGGAAGGGCAGGCAGGUGGUGGAAUGCAAGAAGCAAGGGAGGGGCAGAUUUCAAGGGUACAAGGAAAUGUGAUGAAGGGAGUAGGAGAGACUAGACUAUAAACAGUCCAAGCAGGAGAACUUGAGAAGAAAAGGAAGAACAUAUUGUGAAGCCAUAAGGAGAUGUGAAGAAGGGAGCAGAAGUGAUGAGACAGUGAGUAGUGGAUUGUCGAAAGUUGAGAUGUAUCGCUCAUGCAUGGAGCAAGGCAAGACAGUAAAUAGGAAGAAGAGAGUGAGGAGCGGGAAGGAGGAGAGACAAGUACAGUGAUAGGACACAAGGAGCAAGAGAAGAAGGCUUGAUGUGGGCAAAUGGUAAGAGAGGAUGGUAUGGUAAUACAAAGUGAGUGAUGGUGAGAACAAGUUAAGAGAUGCAGCAGAGUGCAAAGAGGAAGAGAGGGUAGUAAGAUAGAGGUGACAAGGAAGAAGAGGUGUGAUCCUAGUUUCGAGCACAAAGAAGGUGGCAAGGCAGCAUCAGACAUCCUCUGGCAGGAAGGAAACAGAGCUGUUCAUUGCUCCUGUGCUCUCUUUCUGAGGCAGACAAUUUGUGGUGCUCUCUUGUGGAAAGAAGGAUCUGGGUAAGGCGAGAGUAGAGAACAAAUAUAAGCAUAUCAGUAUAGAUAUUUGUUGCAAAUUUUCAGAUCUGAGGAUCCGAGGAAGUUGAAUAUAGCAACUCUAGUCUAGACAAGUCUUAUAGGUAGAAGACCUUUAUCAAAUCUCAGGUGGUAUAAGCUUGGUGAUUACUAUAAUCUUAUUUGGCCACCAGAGGGCUUUUAUUGGAAAACAACUGGCAUGCAAUUAUUUCUCACUCGUUCAGUCGU
RNAcentral lists this long non-coding RNA (1854 nucleotides) under Anolis carolinensis (green anole). Its description in RNAcentral is "lncRNA (ENSACAG00000043378.1)". Lineage: Eukaryota; Metazoa; Chordata; Lepidosauria; Squamata; Anolidae. The record is from RNAcentral.